Molecule: unclassified non-coding RNA, 251 nt
Filed under: Cladophialophora sp.
Lineage: Eukaryota; Fungi; Ascomycota; Eurotiomycetes; Chaetothyriales; Herpotrichiellaceae
Description: partial contains small subunit ribosomal RNA, internal transcribed spacer 1, and 5.8S ribosomal RNA
Rfam family: Eukaryotic small subunit ribosomal RNA (bases 1-46)
Source: RNAcentral
AAGUCGUAACAAGGUUUCCGUAGGUGAACCUGCGGAAGGAUCAUUAAUGAGUUAGGGUCUUCCAGGCCUGAUCUCCAACCCUUUGUAUAACUACCAUGUUGCUUUGGCGGGCCCGUCUCUAACCGGACCGCCGGGGGUGUUUAACCUCUGGCCAGUGCGCGUCAGUAGCCCAUAACAAAUUCUUUUAACCAUGUUAAAUCUGAAAUUAGUUAAAUAAACUAAAACUUUCAACAACGGAUCUCUUGGUUCUG